AGUGGAUGGGGAGCAACCUAGUUGUGCGUGUGUAAAGGUAGUGCCAAGAAAAGCGGUGAUCAUGAUGAAAAUCAAUUCCCGGUACCCGAAACCGACACAGGUGGGCAAGUAGAGAAUACUAAGGGGCGCGAGGUAACUCUCUCCAAGGAACUCGGCAAAAUGACCCCGUAACUUAGGGAGAAGGGGUGCCACCGAGAGGUGGUCGCGGUGAAGAGGCCCAGGCGACUGUUUAGCAAAAACAUAGGUCUCUGCAAACUCGAAAGAGGAGGUAUAGGGGCUGACGCCUGCCCAGUGCCGGAAGGUUAAAGAAGUUGGUCAGUCUUAGGAUGAAGCUAGCGACUGAAGCCCCGGUGAACGGCGGCCGUAACUAUAACGGUCCUAAGGUAGCGAAAUUCCUUGUCGGGUAAGUUCCGACCCGCACGAAAGGCGUAACGAUCUGGGCGCUGUCUCGGAGAGAGGCUCGGCGGAAUAGGAUUGUCUGUGAAGAUACGGACUACCUGCAUUUGGACAGAAAGACCCUAUGAAGCUUUACUAUAGCUUGGAAUUGUGUUCGGGCUUCCUGUGCGCAGGAUAGGUGGGAGGCGUAGAAGGUAUUCUUGUGGGGAUACUGGAGCCAACGGUGAGAUACCACUCUCAGGAGGCUAGAAUUCUAACUUAAUUAAGGACAGUUUCAGGUGGGUAGUUUGACUGGGGCGGUCGCCUCCAAAAAGGUAACGGAGGCGUACAAAGGUUCCCUCAGACUGGUUGGAAAUCAGUCGAAGAGUGCAAAGGCAGAAGGGAGCUUGACUGCGAGAAGUACAGUUCGAGCAGGGUGGAAACACGGUCUAGUGAUCCGACGGUGCUGUGUGGAAGGGCCGUCGCUCAACGGAUAAAGGUUACUCUAGGAUAACAGGCUGAUCUCCCCCAAGAGUUCACAUCGACGGGGAGGUUUGGCACCUCGAUGUCGGCUCAUCGCAACCUGGGGCGGAAGUACGUCCCAAGGGUUGGGCUGUUCGCCCAUUAAAGCGGUACGUGAGCUGGGUUCAGAACGUCGUGAGACAGUUCGGUCCAUAUCCGAUGUAGGCGUGAGAAUAUUGAGAGGAGCCUUCCUUAGUACGAGAGGACCGGGAAGGACGCACCGCUGGUGUACCUGUUAUGAUGCCAAUUGUAAACGCAGGGUAGCCAAGUGCGGAGAGGAUAACCGCUGAAAGCAUCUAAGUGGGAAGCCCACCUCAAGAUGAGUAUUCUGGUGUAAGGUCACGGGAAGACGACCCGUAAAUAGGCACGAGGUGGAAGUGCAGAGAUGUAUGAAGCCGAAGUGUACUAAUAGACCGUCGGCUUGACCAA
Molecule: ribosomal RNA, 1326 nt
Filed under: metagenome
Description: bacterial LSU rRNA
Rfam family: Bacterial large subunit ribosomal RNA
Source: RNAcentral